AAUCCAUGGUGAGGCAGUCUUGUUAAUACUCCUUAAAACGCUCCCAGGCUUCAUAUAAAGGUUCUGUCGGUCCUUGCUGAAAGCUUGAGAUCUUGGUUGUCAGCAA
Small nucleolar RNA from Eutrema salsugineum, 106 nucleotides. It matches the Rfam family "Plant small nucleolar RNA R71". From Rfam's summary of the family: R71 is a member of the C/D box family of snoRNAs containing the C (UGAUGA) and D (CUGA) box motifs. Multiple nearly identical copies of this snoRNA have been identified in Arabidopsis, and it is thought to function as a 2'-O-ribose methylation guide for 18S ribosomal RNA. Lineage: Eukaryota; Viridiplantae; Streptophyta; Magnoliopsida; Brassicales; Brassicaceae. The record is from Rfam.